AUUGAACGCUGGCGGCAUGCUUUACACAUGCAAGUCGAACGGUAACAGGCCGCAAGGUGCUGACGAGUGGCGAACGGGUGAGUAAUGCAUCGGAACGUGCCCAGUCGUGGGGGAUAACUACUCGAAAGAGUAGCUAAUACCGCAUACGAUCUAUGGAUGAAAGCGGGGGACCGUAAGGCCUCGCGCGAUUGGAGCGGCCGAUGUCAGAUUAGGUAGUUGGUGGGGUAAAGGCUCACCAAGCCAACGAUCUGUAGCUGGUCUGAGAGGACAACCAGCCACACUGGGACUGAGACACGGCCCAAACUCCUACGGGAGGCAGCAGUGGGGAAUUUUGGACAAUGGGCGCAAGCCUGAUCCAGCAAUGCCGCGUGCAGGAAGAAGGCCUUCGGGUUGUAAACUGCUUUUGUACGGAACGAAACGGCUCUGGUUAAUACCCGGGGCUAAUGACGGUACCGUAAGAAUAAGCACCGGCUAACUACGUG
RNAcentral lists this ribosomal RNA (482 nucleotides) under uncultured bacterium. RNAcentral describes it as "partial 16S ribosomal RNA". It matches the Rfam family "Bacterial small subunit ribosomal RNA", at positions 30 to 507 of the family's 1533-position model. The record is from RNAcentral.